CGACUAUGCCCACAGGCUAAAGACGGAAGAUUUUGAAGUGUACUUUACUGGAAAAAAAAGACUUCUUCCAAGGCCUACAGAUAUAAGGCGCAGCCAGGUGACAACUCUACUAGAAUCCCUAUCCUGACAGAACUCUACAUACAAGCUGUCAUUUUUGACCACAUUUCCAGAAGGAAGACUUAAGUACCAACAUGUUAAUUUCCUAAUAAUUUGCUAAAUUUAAAUAAAUUCCGUAGACAGAGCAAAUUAGAAUAAUAAAUGAGCCCUG
This 268-nucleotide small RNA is filed under the name Pan troglodytes (chimpanzee). RNAcentral describes it as "processed transcript". The record is from RNAcentral. Lineage: Eukaryota; Metazoa; Chordata; Mammalia; Primates; Hominidae.